RNAcentral lists this ribosomal RNA (1221 nucleotides) under Bacillus sp. 1P09AB. Its description in RNAcentral is "bacterial SSU rRNA". It matches the Rfam family "Bacterial small subunit ribosomal RNA", at positions 109 to 1317 of the family's 1533-position model. Lineage: Bacteria; Bacillati; Bacillota; Bacilli; Caryophanales; Bacillaceae. The record is from RNAcentral.
AGUAACACGUGGGUAACCUGCCUGUAAGACUGGGAUAACUCCGGGAAACCGGAGCUAAUACCGGAUAGUUCCUUGAACCGCAUGGUUCAAGGAUGAAAGACGGUUUCGGCUGUCACUUACAGAUGGACCCGCGGCGCAUUAGCUAGUUGGUGAGGUAACGGCUCACCAAGGCGACGAUGCGUAGCCGACCUGAGAGGGUGAUCGGCCACACUGGGACUGAGACACGGCCCAGACUCCUACGGGAGGCAGCAGUAGGGAAUCUUCCGCAAUGGACGAAAGUCUGACGGAGCAACGCCGCGUGAGUGAUGAAGGUUUUCGGAUCGUAAAGCUCUGUUGUUAGGGAAGAACAAGUGCAAGAGUAACUGCUUGCACCUUGACGGUACCUAACCAGAAAGCCACGGCUAACUACGUGCCAGCAGCCGCGGUAAUACGUAGGUGGCAAGCGUUGUCCGGAAUUAUUGGGCGUAAAGGGCUCGCAGGCGGUUUCUUAAGUCUGAUGUGAAAGCCCCCGGCUCAACCGGGGAGGGUCAUUGGAAACUGGGAAACUUGAGUGCAGAAGAGGAGAGUGGAAUUCCACGUGUAGCGGUGAAAUGCGUAGAGAUGUGGAGGAACACCAGUGGCGAAGGCGACUCUCUGGUCUGUAACUGACGCUGAGGAGCGAAAGCGUGGGGAGCGAACAGGAUUAGAUACCCUGGUAGUCCACGCCGUAAACGAUGAGUGCUAAGUGUUAGGGNGUUUCCGCCCCNUAGUGCUGCAGCUAACGCAUUAAGCACUCCGCCUGGGGAGUACGGUCGCAAGACUGAAACUCAAAGGAAUUGACGGGGGCCCGCACAAGCGGUGGAGCAUGUGGUUUAAUUCGAAGCAACGCGAAGAACCUUACCAGGUCUUGACAUCCUCUGACAACCCUAGAGAUAGGGCUUUCCCUUCGGGGACAGAGUGACAGGUGGUGCAUGGUUGUCGUCAGCUCGUGUCGUGAGAUGUUGGGUUAAGUCCCGCAACGAGCGCAACCCUUGAUCUUAGUUGCCAGCAUUCAGUUGGGCACUCUAAGGUGACUGCCGGUGACAAACCGGAGGAAGGUGGGGAUGACGUCAAAUCAUCAUGCCCCUUAUGACCUGGGCUACACACGUGCUACAAUGGACAGAACAAAGGGCUGCGAGACCGCAAGGUUUAGCCAAUCCCACAAAUCUGUUCUCAGUUCGGAUCGCAGUCUGCAACUCGACU